AAAAAAAAAAAAAAAAAAAAAAAUAAUAAUAAAAAAGUGGAGUCCUUCAAACUUGUGUGAAGUUUUUAUUCAAUGUCCCAAUUCUUGAUCCGAUCAUCAAAAAUGGAACUAUUCUACCCAUAAAAAUCCUCGAAAUUAAAUCGUUUUAAGUUCUUUCUCGAUCUUCGCUCCUUCACGGUUAUAAUCCUCUGCGUUUGCUCCCCAUGGCCGCGCCGUUUUUCUCCACUCCGUUUCAACCUUACGUUUAUCAG
RNAcentral lists this unclassified non-coding RNA (251 nucleotides) under Hevea brasiliensis (rubber tree). Lineage: Eukaryota; Viridiplantae; Streptophyta; Magnoliopsida; Malpighiales; Euphorbiaceae. The record is from RNAcentral.